RNAcentral lists this RNase P RNA (340 nucleotides) under pig gut metagenome. RNAcentral describes it as "Bacterial RNase P class A". It matches the Rfam family "Bacterial RNase P class A". Rfam says of the family: Ribonuclease P (RNase P) is a ubiquitous endoribonuclease, found in archaea, bacteria and eukarya as well as chloroplasts and mitochondria. Its best characterised activity is the generation of mature 5'-ends of tRNAs by cleaving the 5'-leader elements of precursor-tRNAs. The record is from RNAcentral.
AGUUAGCCAGAUGGUCGCAUGUCUUUGUAAUGAAGAACAUGAGGAAAGUCCGAGCUCCAAAGAACAGGGCGCCAGUUAACUGCUGGUGGAGGCGACUUUAAGGAAAGUGCAACAGAAAUAAACCGCUUUGUCUUUUGACAGAGUAAGGAUGGAAAGGGGAGGUAAGAGCUCACCGCACGUUUGGUAACAAAAGUGGCACAUGUAAACCCCGCCCGGAGUAAGGUUAAAAGAAGCAUUAGGGUUGUUCGCUCGCUUCUUAAUAACACCGCUUGAAUACGUUGGGAACAACGUAUCUAGAUAGAUGGCCAUCAAAUACAGAACUCGGCUUAUAGACUAACUA